Molecule: ribosomal RNA, 432 nt
Filed under: uncultured bacterium
Lineage: Bacteria
Description: partial 16S ribosomal RNA
Rfam family: Bacterial small subunit ribosomal RNA
Source: RNAcentral
AUAAACGCUAACGGCGUGCUUUAGGCAUGCAAGUCGAGCGGAUCUCGCAAGAGGUCAGCGGCAGACGGGUGAGUAAUGGUAAGGAAUCUACCUUAAAGUGAAGGACAUCUCGUCGAAAGAUGGGGUAAUCCUGCAUGUAACCGCAAGGUAAAAGGGCGUAACUGCCCGCUUUAAGAGGAGCCUUACUCCUAUCAGCUAGUUGGUGGGGUAAUGGCCCACCAAGGCUAUGACGGGUAGCUGGAGUGAGAGCUUGUACAGCCACAAUGGCACUGAUAUACGGGCCAUACACCUACGGGUGGCAGCAACCAGGAAUUGUCGACAAUGGGCGAAAGCCUGAUCGCGCGACGCCGUGUGAGGGAUGAAGCCUUUUGGGGUGUAAACCUCUUUUGUCCCGAUUUCGCAUCGGGAAGAAUAAGCAUCUACUAACUACGU